GACGAACGCUGGCGGCGUGCUUAACACAUGCAAGUCGAACGGAGAGGCCCUGCUGUUGUGAUGUGCUCGAGUGGCGAGAGUAUGAGUUACGCGACCGUAACCUGCCCUUGGCUUUAGUCUAACUUCUGGGAGCUAAUGCUGGUACCGCAUCGGUUCUCCCACGGCAGGUGGUGAGUUGGGAUUUUUCGGCGGGUGGGGAUGGACUCGCGGCCUAUCAGCUUGUUGGUGGGGUAGUGGCCUACCAAGGCUGUGACGGGUAGCCGGCCUGAGAGGGUGACCGGCCACACUGGGACUGAGAUACGGCCCAGACUCCUACGGGAGGCAGCAGUGGGGAAUAUUGCACAAUGGGCGGAAGCCUGACGCAGCAACGCCGCGUGCGGGAUGACGGCCUUCGGGUUGUAAACCGCUUUCGCCAGUGACGAAGCGUGAGUGACGGUAACGGGUAAAGAAGCACCGGCCAACUACGUG
This 468-nucleotide ribosomal RNA is filed under the name uncultured bacterium. Its description in RNAcentral is "partial 16S ribosomal RNA". It matches the Rfam family "Bacterial small subunit ribosomal RNA", at positions 28 to 507 of the family's 1533-position model. The record is from RNAcentral.